Anolis carolinensis (green anole) is the source of this 7326-nucleotide RNA transcript. It is a transcript of the gene named cysteinyl-tRNA synthetase 2, mitochondrial, with no coding region annotated. The record is from RefSeq and is a predicted model, not a curated record. The transcript has 16 exons. Lineage: Eukaryota; Metazoa; Chordata; Lepidosauria; Squamata; Anolidae.
CGCCUCUCCUCCCUUCCUGCCACGCGGGCUGGGCCUCGUCCUAGGAAGCGGCCUCCCUGUGCUGCGCAUGGCUCGCGCUUGGCUGCUGCAGCAGCUGCUGCUAUCCCCGGCCCGGGCCCGCCUCCGAGCCGCCUCGCCUGCCUUGCAGAGGAUGGGCCUCUCCUCCGGUGGCGCCAAGUGGCUCCAGCCCCGCGGCCCAGAGAGCGGCAUCCAGACCUACAACAGCCUCAGCAAGAGCAAGGAGCCGCUGGUCUUGCGGAACCCCGAUGUGGUCACUUGGUAUAGCUGUGGACCAACUGUGUACGAUCAUGCACACCUUGGGCAUGCUUGCUCCUAUGUCAGGUUUGAUAUAAUUAGAAGAAUAAUGACACGUUUAUUUGGAAAGGAAGUGGUCAUGGUGAUGGGAAUUACAGAUAUCGAUGACAAAAUAAUUAAGAGAGCCAAUGAGAUGGGUAUAUCACCAUUGACUCUUGCCCGUUUUUAUGAGGAAGACUUUAAGCAAGAUAUGGCUGCCUUAAAGGUUCUUCCUCCUACGGUCUAUAUGAGAGUGACUGAAAAUAUUCCUCAGAUUAUUUCUUUUAUACAGAAGAUCAUUGCUAGCAGACAUGGCUAUGCAACCUCAAAAGGUAAUGUUUAUUUUGAUGUCCGUUCUAGGGGAGAAAGAUACGGAAAAUUGGCAAAUAUUUAUCCUGAUGCUCAAGAAGAACCAGUGGAUAGUGAUAAGUCCCAUGUGAAGGAUUUUGCUCUUUGGAAGGCAGCCAAACCUCAAGAGAUGUGCUGGGAUUCACCCUGGGGCAAAGGGCGGCCUGGCUGGCACAUUGAAUGUUCAACCAUAUCCAGUUUAGUGUUUGGAGGACACUUAGAUAUUCACACUGGUGGGAUAGAUCUUGCGUUUCCCCAUCAUGAAAAUGAAAUUGCUCAAUGUGAAGUUUAUCAUCAGUGUGACCAAUGGGCAAAUUAUUUUUUACAUUCUGGACAUCUACAUGUUAAAGGGAGUGAAAAAAUGUCAAAAUCACUCAAAAACUACAUUACUAUUAAGGAUUUCUUGAAGGAGUUUUCAUCUGAUCAGUUUAGAAUGCUUUGUUUGCGGAGCAGAUAUAGGGCAGGUAUAGAAUACAGUGAUGACCACAUGAGCGAGGCAAAGAGCAUCCUUCAGAUAAUCUAUUUUUUUCUGAGUAGUGUGAAUGCCUACAUGAAAGGACAACUUCUCUGUGAAGACAUUAGAGAAGAUGUACUGUGGGAAAGACUUGCUCACACUAAAGCCGCCGUAAGGGCUGCCUGUGCCGAUGACUUUGACACCCCCAGGGCUGUUGGUGCAAUUAUGGACCUCAUUCACCAUGGCAACAGACAGCUUAAGGCCGUCACUAAGGAAACUGGAUCUCCUCGAAGUGCCAUGGUAUUUGGAGCCAUUGUUUCCUAUAUAGUGGAAUUUCUUAACACUGUUGGGAUUGCACUUUCUGAAGGAGAGGUCACUCCCGAAAACAAACAUUCAGCCAUUCUUAGCAGCGUGAUAGAUGAAUUGGUAAGCUUCCGAACCAAAGUACGCAAUUUUGCACUUGCUGCACCUGAGGCAACUGGAGGAGAUAUGUCAGCUGAACAUGCUGUCCCAUCGAAAGAAGCAAAACAGCGACAGAAAGAGGAAAGACAGAGACUGUUGAAGGAGAGAGAGACCCUUCUGCAAGCAUGUGAUGACUUGCGUCAAGACCUAUCUCUGUAUGGCAUCACUAUAAAGGAUAGAAGCACAACUUCUACAUGGGAACUCAGAGAACCAAGUAAAGAGCUGGAAAACAGCUAAUGUAUGUACAGAUGGAGUGUUUUAAAACAGAGAAUAAUCUUCCUUGAAUUAUCAGACUUCAUAUUGAAGCAGCCUAAAUAUGUGUUCUGAUUUUUGCUUUAAAAAUUGAAAUCCAGAAGCUUUGUCUGUUUUUUUUUAAGAUUGGUGUUGAGGGUGGCCAGAACAGAGAACAGAUAAGAGAUCUGUUCAUCUAGAGCCAUUAUUUUACCUGUUUUCUUUUUGGACAAUCUGUGACACUGUGUGCUUUGCCACCUGCAUGAAAUUUAAACUGUUUCAAAUCAUUUUUUUUUAAAGCAACCACAAUUUUUAUAAUGAAAUUAUAAUUGCUAGCUUAGUGACACAAAAGGUGAGUUGCAUAUGUGGGUUUUAAUUUUCACCAUGGUAGUCUGUAGCCUUCUGUGGAAAUGAUGUAUAUAGGGGUGGGUGGCAGUUUUGAUGUGCCUCUUAAGUGUUCAUGCCUCUUGAAAAGCAAAUUUGAGAACAGCACAUCUUAAAGAUUUAUUCUGAAGUGACAAGAAACAUCUGAGAGGCAGGAUGCUCAGCCAUAGAUCCUUUUAUAAGAAGUGCAAAGUUUGACUGGCUAAUGUUAAUCUUAUGUCAUACAAAUGUUUUACAAUAUCGUCAUUUCAGCACUUGCAGGUUCAAGGGUAUUUAGAAGCUUAAAAUAGCUGGCCUCAUACAGUCAUUUUAAACAUUAUAGAUUGGCCUCUGGCAGAUCUCCAAAAAUUCCUAAUGUUAAAAAUUCAAAAUAACCUUGAGAGACCUGAGUCAGAGCAACCCUUUCAACUACUAACAAAAUUCUGUCUUCUGUCUAUGAAUGAAACCAUGUUCUGUAAGAACAGAUUCCAUACUUUUAACUGGUUUUUCCCUCAUACAAGGAAACUUUACAUAAUAGUAACUGACAAACUCUAGAUAAACUCUAGUAGAAUUUGAGGUUGAAAGCACCAUUUUUAAUGCUUGGGAUGUAAAGCUGCAACAGACUGGGCACUGCUGGACACUGCCUGUCUCCCAACAACAGCAAACCACAAAAACGACUUGAAAAGAAUGUAAAGAGUAGAAAGCAGGACUGAAGUCCUGAGGAAAACGUAAGGCUUGAGGGCCUGUAUCAGGAGAUACACACAUCUCAUGUCUUUACAUCUUUAUAUUUAUGCCCCCUGUCAAAAAAACACAAACCUUGUAAGCAGUCCAACCCCUCUCCAAAAUUAGCUAUUUCUGUGUUGUCAGAAAGUGAGGAGUAAGUUGGGAUUACUUGAGCUGCCGUAUUUCACCGACUCGAAGACACAGGGUUUUUAAAAUCAAAAUCUAGGCUCCCAGAACGGGCUAUGUCUUACAACAGAUGGCAUCCUAGAGUUGUCUGGGUUUUUAAAAAUUAUGUGCUUUGCUGCCAUGACAGUUGCAGCUUGGGCUAAAAAAACUGUUAUUUCUAUUGUUUUUCUAAGCAAAGCAGCAAAGUGCUUAGCAAGUGUAUAACCAUCUUUAGGGAGCAAGGCUUCCUUAAUUCUUGAAGUGGAGUUACCAGAGCUGUAUUUCAUUAUCUGCAAUCCCUGAUCCUGUUGUACACCUCAAAAUGUCAAAAUGAUUGCAUUAUGAAGCUGUCUUCAAAAGAAAAAUGAUUGUGAUGUCAAUGAGGUAAAUGUCCGUCAUUGGCUAAAGUAUUUUGAUGCCAUUUUUUACUACAGAGUAUCCACAAAAUGUUUUACGGGACCCAAAAUGGCAAAUUUCCUUAAGUGGAUGAGUGUGGGAGUGAUAGAUGUGCAGCACGCAUGAGCAAAAGGAUUGCCCAUUAUUAGGCAAUCAAUGCAAUUGAAAGCCAUUGAGAUUGCAAAGUCCCUUUGGGAUAAAAAUAAGUUUUUAAAGGCGGUCAGGACUGGCAUGACAGACUCACAUGUCUUGUUGGGUUAUCACUGAGGCAUCGGACAUCUAUCUGUCAAAAAAGCCUAGCGGAUUUCCAAAAGAAGAUGAUUAACUUCCAGUUAUUGAUUUAUAGAAGGCAAAGAAAAUACGGUUUCAGUCAAAUUGGAAGUGCUGAUGAAACUUCAGUAUUUAAAAAUAAUCUAUUUAUUCAUCAGUAUAAGUAUUAUACAAUUUAUAAAAACAGUAUUUUAUCCUCUUUGACUUAUAUCACUAUAUAUGUCAAUUUUAAACUAUUUUUCCCUACCUGCCAGAUUGAAAAACAAUAAGCAAAACAAUAGAUUAAAAUUGACUUUCCACUUCCUGCUUCAAAGCCACGAGGGGGGAAAAGUGUUAUGAUCCUGUCAAUCUAUCAUUUUAGACAGUUUCUUUAUUCUAUCUUAUCUUUUUUUUUUUCAAUCUUCAAACCCAUAUAGUCUUUUUUUAUUCCUAGAAAUUAUACAGGUAACAUAAAGGGUGCUAAAGAAGUUAACAUAAUCACCACUGGCUACGAAAAAUGGCACAUCAUUGUCACGUUAUGUUGUCACAGUUGGCACCGUAUUUAAUUUUAAAUCAGAAAAAUGUAUCUAAGAUUGAGACUUUCCUUAAAGAUGUGAUUGUGAGGACAUAGAAAAAUGGGUGGAUGACAGCAAAACACAUGGAAGACGGGCUGAGUGACAGGCACCCUUGAAGUCUUUGUCACCCACAUAACAUGUUACUUCUGCAUGCCUUCCAUGGACAUUUGUCAGAUUUAGGUUAGAAAGAGAAUCAAGGAGAAAGUGACUUUGCAGUGAUUCCUGCAGCUAUUUGAUUAUCCAGUUGCAGCCACUUGAUCUUUCGAUGAACAAGCCGUUCAAGGAUUUUAAAAAACAAAAAAAUUAAUAUGAAUCCUGGCUGUCAACUGACAACCUUCCUUAGACUCCCUCAGGGAAAAUCAGAGUGGCUGCACCCACAUUGGCUGAAUGGAUAUGUAUCAACUACCUGGAGGCAAACACCAGAAAAAAUAGUGGAGCCUCUUUCAAUAAAUGUUACGUCACUUAAGUUUUGGAUUAGGGGUGUGCAAUUCAGUCUGUUUUCGGUGUCCUGAAUUCGGUGGCCCUUUCAGUUUUUCAGGGCUGAAAUCCGCAUUUCGAUCCAGCAACCGAAAGAUCCAGGAAGAUCCGGCCCAUUGGCAGCAAUGGGGAACUUAUGAGAAUCCUCUUUCCAUCACUUUUAGGGCAUCAGACUUAAGAAACCCCCGUUUCUGGGAUUGUUUCUUCUUAUAUCUUUUAAUAAGACCUGGAUUAAAGGCAUCCGUCUCAAGAAACCACUCUUUCUGGGAUCGUUUCUCCUUAUAUCCUUCAAUAAGACCUGGAUUAAAAGCACCAGUCGAAAGAAAACCCCCUUUAUGGGAUCCAUUCUCCUUAUAUCCUUCAAUAAGACUUGGAUUAAAAGCAUCGGUCUUAAGAAACCCCCUUUCUGGGAGUCUUUCUUAUAUCUUUUAAUAAGACCUGAAUUAAAGGCAUCAGGCUUAAGCACCCAUCCUUUCCGGGAUUGUUUGCCGUCAGCACCCUUUCCAUGAAGCGGAGUUAAACAUUUUAAUGGGAAUCACACCACCUGAAGGAGCUUUAGCCAUUCUUUAAAAAAAGAUAUAAAUUACCUCCUCAUUUUAUAGCGGCUUUAGAAAUUGUAAGAUACCUAUAUCCCACAUUUGAAGCUUGCCUCUUGUGAAGGGUACUAUUGGUGGCAGAUUACGUGUGUAGAAAGUAACCUGCUUUACUAUUUGAGUCAAAAAGCAAGCCAAGCCACGCAGAGCUGAGAGUGGCACUGAGAACUUAGAUCACAGAUCUCUCUCUCAGAAGCCUGCUCACAGCGCCUCUCUGUGCUCCACGUGUAGCCAAAAGAAACUGAAAGCAGUUGAUUUCGGCAGCUACAUGGUCUGUUACGGCCAGAAAAAAAAUUGUGGUGGAGUCUGUGCUGUGAUGGCAGGCCGAACCAGCUGAAGCCCAUUUUUCAAAAUGGAUCUGUACACAGCCCUACUUUGGAUGGCUUCUAAAGAUGAUAACUCACAUUUGGACCGUGAUACUUCAGCCCCGGAUGAGAACUGCUAGUGAUUCUGAAAAAGGAGAUGAAUGAACGAUUGUGGGUUAGACGUAAAUGAUCAAAAGAUAAAUAAACCAUCAUGUGCCUUUGGUGUAAAAGUUGAAUGAGUUCCGCUCCUGUUCUGUUUUUCUAUAUUUUGUGUUUUCCUAUUAUUAAUUUGAAUUCUGUUGAUCUAUUGAGUCCCCUUGGGGAGAUAGGGUGGGAUGGAUAAAAAUAAAGUUUUAUUCGAUUAUUGUAAGUAUUAAAGAAUUAAAUAUAUUUCAGUAUGUCAUAUAAAAUUCUUUUCCUGAAACCAGAGCUUUAAAAUCAGCUGCAUCUUACUAUUGAAACUACCUCUCCCCCCACCCCUGCCACCCAGAAACAGCAACUCCAAAAUCAUGCUGCGUCUUAGAUUCAGUGGCAUCUUACAGUCAGUGAAAUAACAGUAUUUUCUUGUAGCUGUAUGCAUUGCAAGGAUGUCACCUGUACAGAGUUUGCAAGGAUUCCAGGUCCCUGUAGAUGUCAGUUUCAGGAAAAUAGCUGGAUGUGUCCCCCACUCAUCGCCUUGAUCUCUAGCCACAAGGAAAUGGUUAUGUUGGGGAAGACGUCUGCACUGAUUACAAGCAAGCAAGGCCCAAUGAGCCAGGACUCCAAGAGACCCUGAGAGAAGAUCCCCUUGUCCACCGCAUCUUCUGCUGCUUCCUUCAUGGCUACAUACAAGCACUGGAAGACAAAAAUGUAACUGGUGGAAGACAUUCAGCCUCUCUUUAGUAGAGCUUAUGACAGAUGAGAGAAGUAUUAAGCAAAUAUGCAUCAGAAGCACAGCUGACUACCAAUAUAUCAAAUUUAGGAAGGUUUUACAGAAACAAGAAUUAAAAUGAGAUAUUAGCACUGAAUUGUAACUUAUGUAAAGCUGUUUAAAUGUAAUGUUCGAAGAUACACCAACAGCAGAUACUUUCUUCAAGAUUCUGAGCUGUCUGGGUGACGUUAGCCAAACAAAGACAACAGAAAGAUAUUUGCAUGCCUGCUUCACAUUCUUAUGUCUGGGAAACAAAUUAUUCUUUUUAAAUGCCAUGUAUACCCAUUAACUAUUUCCCAUGUGCUCAUAUCAGCCAAGUAAACUACCUAUUUUAUCAUCAUAAUUCUAGACUAUUACUGGUCAGCUGUUAUUUAAAUAGAAGGAAAGGUAACAUAUGACUACAUACUUUGACAUGUGUAUUCUCUGCUACUCUCUCCUUUUAUAUGCACACUCUCAGGGCACUACUAAGUCCCUUCUCUUCCAUCCCAUUUGUCCUACAGGACAUAGUCAUGGUAUGUUGACCAUUUAUUUAUUCUCAAAAAUAAUUUUGGGCACAAUACUGAAUGAUAAAUGUAAGAAUAAUUUCCUGGGCAAAUGGAAGGCAAAGGGAAAAAUGAAGUAUCCUAGCAAUAGAAAACCACAGAAGUAGUUUUCUAUCAUCGCAACAGAGUUAAUCACUCAUUUAUCACCAUGUUUUUCAAUUUAAUGGUAUGUACUCCCAUGAAAUGUAUCUUGACUGAAAAACAUCUAAAUAAAUUAAAGUUGACCAUUUUGUCCAAUA